UUUCUUCGGAAAUGGAUUAGCGGCGAACGGGUGAGGAACACGUGAAGAAUCUGCCCUCCACUUUGGGAUAACACCGGGAAACCGGUGCUAAUACCGAAUAUUGAAACAUAAGUGGCAUCACUGAGUUUUGAAAGAAUUUCGGUGGAGGAUGACUUCGCGGCCUAUCAGCUAGUUGGUGAGGUAAUGGCUCACCAAGGCAACGACGGGUAGCCGGCCUGAGAGGGCGACCGGCCACACUGGGACUGAGACACGGCCCAGACUCCUACGGGAGGCAGCAGUGGGGAAUAUUGGGCAAUGGAGGAAACUCUGACCCAGCGACGCCGCGUGCGGGAUGAAGGCCUUCGGGUUGUAAACCGCUUUCAGUAGGGAAGAAGCGAAAGUGACGGUACCUACAAAAGAAGCACCGGCUAACUAUGUGCCAGCAGCCGCGGUAAUACAUAGGGUGCAAGCGUUGUCCGGAAUUAUUGGGCGUAAAGAGCUCGUAGGUCGUUUGUUACGUCGGAUGUGAAAACCUGAGGCUCAACCUCAGGCCUGCAUUCGAUACGGGCAAACUAGAGUUUGGUAGGGGAGACUGGAAUUCCUGGUGUAGCGGUGGAAUGCGCAGAUAUCAGGAGGAACACCAAUGGCGAAGGCAGGUCUCUGGGCCAAUACUGACACUGA
This 660-nucleotide ribosomal RNA is filed under the name uncultured Actinomycetes bacterium. Its description in RNAcentral is "bacterial SSU rRNA". It matches the Rfam family "Bacterial small subunit ribosomal RNA", at positions 75 to 749 of the family's 1533-position model. The record is from RNAcentral. Lineage: Bacteria; Bacillati; Actinomycetota; Actinomycetes.